Unclassified non-coding RNA from Pongo abelii (Sumatran orangutan), 148 nucleotides. It matches the Rfam family "Metazoan signal recognition particle RNA". Rfam says of the family: The signal recognition particle (SRP) is a universally conserved ribonucleoprotein. It is involved in the co-translational targeting of proteins to membranes. The eukaryotic SRP consists of a 300-nucleotide 7S RNA and six proteins: SRPs 72, 68, 54, 19, 14, and 9. The record is from Ensembl. Lineage: Eukaryota; Metazoa; Chordata; Mammalia; Primates; Hominidae.
GCUGGGUGUGGUGGUGCACGCCUGUAAUCCCAGCUACUCGGGAGGCUGAGGUGGGAGGAUCGCUUGAGCCCAGGAGGUGGAGAUUGCAGUGAGCCGAGAUCACACCACUGCACUCCAGCCUGGGCGACACAGCGAGACACUGUCUCAA